UACACUCCUGCGGGAGGCAGCAGUGGGGAAUAUUGCACAAUGGGCGCAAGCCUGAUGCAGCCAUGCCGCGUGUAUGAAGAAGGCCUUCGGGUUGUAAAGUACUUUCAGCGGGGAGGAAGGCGAUAAGGUUAAUAACCUUGUCGAUUGACGUUACCCGCAGAAGAAGCACCGGCUAACUCCGUGCCAGCAGCCGCGGUAAUACGGAGGGUGCAAGCGUUAAUCGGAAUUACUGGGCGUAAAGCGCACGCAGGCGGUCUGUCAAGUCGGAUGUGAAAUCCCCGGGCUCAACCUGGGAACUGCAUUCGAAACUGGCAGGCUAGAGUCCUGUAGAGGGGGGUAGAAUUCCAGGUGUAGCGGUGAAAUGCGUAGAGAUCUGGAGGAAUACCGGUGGCGAAGGCGGCCCCCUGGACAAAGACUGACGCUCAGGUGCGAAAGCGUGGGGAGCAAACAGGAUUAGAAACCCCAGUAGUCCCAUGAU
RNAcentral lists this ribosomal RNA (478 nucleotides) under uncultured organism. RNAcentral's name for it is "partial 16S ribosomal RNA". It matches the Rfam family "Bacterial small subunit ribosomal RNA", at positions 332 to 801 of the family's 1533-position model. The record is from RNAcentral.